Molecule: ribosomal RNA, 821 nt
Filed under: Armillaria sp. Arg.48
Lineage: Eukaryota; Fungi; Basidiomycota; Agaricomycetes; Agaricales; Physalacriaceae
Description: eukaryotic LSU rRNA
Rfam family: 5.8S ribosomal RNA (bases 244-400)
Source: RNAcentral
AUAUUGAAACAUGAAUCGUAGCAUUGAGAACUGUUGCUGACCUGUUAAAGGGUAUGUGCACGUUCGACGUGUUGCGUUCUAUUCUUCCACCUGUGCACCUUUGUAGACUUGGUUAACUUUCGCUCUCGAGCGGUUAGAAGGGUUGCUUUCGAGCUCCCUUUGUCUACCAAGUUUAUGUCUAUAUAAUCUCUUGUAUGUCUAGAAUGUCUUGUUUAUGGGACGCAAGUCCUUUAAAUCUUAUACAACUUUCAACAACGGAUCUCUUGGCUCUCGCAUCGAUGAUGAAGAACGCAGCGAAAUGCGAUAACUAAUGUGAAUUGCAGAAUUCAGUGAAUCAUCGAGUCUUUGAACGCACCUUGCGCCCUUUGGUAUUCCAAAGGGCAUGCCUGUUUGAGUGUCAUUAAAUUCUCAACCUCCCCUUCUUUUACUAGGAGUGUGGCGGAUUGGAUAUGGAGGCUUGCUGGUUUCUAACGAGAUCAGCUCCUCUGAAAUGCAUUAGCAGAAACCGUUUGACUUUGGCUGCUAGGCUGUGAUAAUAUCUACGCCUUGGUAGUCCGGUCGGAAUACGAGUCUAGCUUAGUAUCGGUUUGGAUGGUGCUUAACGGCUUCAUCUGCUUUCUCCCUUUGCGGAGAUACUUGUCCGAUUCUGAGUUGCAGUUGGAUUUCCUAAAAAGGCAAUCAAGUACGAUGUGAUAUCCCAAAAGGAAAUCAAGUAGGAUAUGAUUGCUAAAAAAGGAAGCUCACCGCGCUGACUUUGUAGAAGGAUUCAGCUUCUAACGGUCCAUUGACUUGGACAAUUUAUUGACUAUUGACCUCAAAUC